UCCGUUGCGAGACGGAAUCUGAAGGAAGUCAGCGGCAAACCUCCGGCCCGAUGAACAAAAGCCACAUAAAAGGCUAGCGGCAGUUGGAUGAGCUUGCCAUUCAAAGCAAAGUCCUUGCUACCGAAGGCUGCCGAGAGUAAAUGUGGCGGGUAGAUAGAGGAAAAGACAGCGUU
This is a non-coding RNA of Thermincola sp., 173 nucleotides long. Lineage: Bacteria; Bacillati; Bacillota; Clostridia; Eubacteriales; Thermincolaceae. The record is from Rfam.